Molecule: ribosomal RNA, 266 nt
Filed under: uncultured bacterium
Lineage: Bacteria
Description: partial 16S ribosomal RNA
Rfam family: Bacterial small subunit ribosomal RNA
Source: RNAcentral
AACAGUGGCGGACGGGUGAGUAACACGUGAGCAACCUGCCUAUCAGAGGGGGAUAACGUUCUGAAAAGAACGCUAAUACCGCAUGAAGUACGAAAGGGACAUCCCAUUUGUACCAAAGGAGCAAUCCGCUGAUAGAUGGGCUCGCGUCCGAUUAGGUAGUUGGUAGGGUAACGGCCUACCAAGCCGACGAUCGGUAGCCGGACUGAGAGGUUGAACGGCCACAUUGGGACUGAGACACGGCCCAGACUCCUACGGGAGGCAGCAUG